RNAcentral lists this ribosomal RNA (2117 nucleotides) under Bacillus velezensis. RNAcentral describes it as "bacterial LSU rRNA". It matches the Rfam family "Bacterial large subunit ribosomal RNA", at positions 1 to 2111 of the family's 2925-position model. Lineage: Bacteria; Bacillati; Bacillota; Bacilli; Caryophanales; Bacillaceae. The record is from RNAcentral.
CGGUUAAGUUAGAAAGGGCGCACGGCGGAUGCCUUGGCACUCGGAGCCGAUGAAGGACCGGACGAACACCGAGAUGCUUCGGGGAGCUGUAAGCAAGCUUUGAUCCGGCGAUUUCCGAAUGGGGAAACCCACCACUCGUAAUGGAGCGGUAUCCAUAUCUGAAUACAUAGGAUAUGAGAAGACAGACCCGGGGAACUGAAACAUCUAAGUACCCGGAGGAAGAGAAAGCAAAUGCGAUUCCCUGAGUAGCGGCGAGCGAAACGGGACCAGCCCAACCCAAGAGGCUUGCCUCUUGGGGUUGUAGGACACUCUGUACGGAGUUACAAAGGAACGAGGUAGAUGAAGAGGUCUGGAAAGGCCCGCCAUAGAAGGUAACAGCCCUGUAGUCAAAACUUCGUUCUCUCCUGAGUGGAUCCUGAGUACGGCGGAACACGUGAAAUUCUGUCGGAAUCCGGGAGGACCAUCUCCCAAGGCUAAAUACUCCCUAGUGACCGAUAGUGAACCAGUACCGUGAGGGAAAGGUGAAAAGCACCCCGGAAGGGGAGUGAAAGAGAUCCUGAAACCGUGUGCCUACAAGUAGUCAGAGCCCGUUAAUGGGUGAUGGCGUGCCUUUUGUAGAAUGAACCGGCGAGUUACGAUCCCGUGCAAGGUUAAGCAGAAGAUGCGGAGCCGCAGCGAAAGCGAGUCUGAAUAGGGCGAAUUGAGUACGUGGUCGUAGACCCGAAACCAGGUGAUCUACCCAUGUCCAGGGUGAAGUUCAGGUAACACUGAAUGGAGGCCCGAACCCACGCACGUUGAAAAGUGCGGGGAUGAGGUGUGGGUAGGGGUGAAAUGCCAAUCGAACCUGGAGAUAGCUGGUUCUCUCCGAAAUAGCUUUAGGGCUAGCCUCAAGGUAAGAGUCUCGGAGGUAGAGCACUGAUUGGACUAGGGGCCCCUACCGGGUUACCGAAUUCAGUCAAACUCCGAAUGCCGAUGACUUAUCCUUGGGAGUCAGACUGCGAGUGAUAAGAUCCGUAGUCGAAAGGGAAACAGCCCAGACCGCCAGCUAAGGUCCCAAAGUAUACGUUAAGUGGAAAAGGAUGUGGAGUUGCUUAGACAACCAGGAUGUUGGCUUAGAAGCAGCCACCAUUUAAAGAGUGCGUAAUAGCUCACUGGUCGAGUGACUCUGCGCCGAAAAUGUACCGGGGCUAAACGUAUCACCGAAGCUGCGGACUGUUCUUCGAACAGUGGUAGGAGAGCGUUCUAAGGGCUGUGAAGCAAGACCGGAAGGACUUGUGGAGCGCUUAGAAGUGAGAAUGCCGGUAUGAGUAGCGAAAGAGGGGUGAGAAUCCCCUCCACCGAAUGCCUAAGGUUUCCUGAGGAAGGCUCGUCCGCUCAGGGUUAGUCGGGACCUAAGCCGAGGCCGAAAGGCGUAGGCGAUGGAUAACAGGUUGAUAUUCCUGUACCACCUCCUCACCAUUUGAGCAAUGGGGGGACGCAGGAGGAUAGGGUAAGCGCGGUAUUGGAUAUCCGCGUCCAAGCAGUUAGGCUGGGAAAUAGGCAAAUCCGUUUCCCGUGAAGGCUGAGCUGUGAUGGCGAGCGAAUUAUAGUAGCGAAGUUCCUGAUUCCACACUGCCAAGAAAAGCCUCUAGCGAGGUGAGAGGUGCCCGUACCGCAAACCGACACAGGUAGGCGAGGAGAGAAUCCUAAGGUGAUCGAGAGAACUCUCGUUAAGGAACUCGGCAAAAUGACCCCGUAACUUCGGGAGAAGGGGUGCUCUGUUAGGGUGCAAGCCCGAGAGAGCCGCAGUGAAUAGGCCCAGGCGACUGUUUAGCAAAAACACAGGUCUCUGCGAAGCCGUAAGGCGAAGUAUAGGGGCUGACGCCUGCCCGGUGCUGGAAGGUUAAGAGGAGCGCUUAGCGUAAGCGAAGGUGCGAAUUGAAGCCCCAGUAAACGGCGGCCGUAACUAUAACGGUCCUAAGGUAGCGAAAUUCCUUGUCGGGUAAGUUCCGACCCGCACGAAAGGCGCAACGAUCUGGGCACUGUCUCAACGAGAGACUCGGUGAAAUUAUAGUACCUGUGAAGAUGCAGGUUACCCGCGACAGGACGGAAAGACCCCGUGGAGCUUUACUGCAGCC